CGGCGGACGGGUGCGUAACGCGUGGGAACAUACCUUUCGGUACGGAACAACUGCGGGAAACUGCAGCUAAUACCGUAUACGCCCUUACGGGGAAAGAUUUAUCGCCGAAGGAUUGGCCCGCGUUCGAUUAGCUAGUUGGUGAGGUAACGGCCCACCAAGGCUACGAUCGAUAGCUGUUCUGAGAGGAAGAUCAGCCACACUGGGACUGAGACACGGCCCAGACUCC
Molecule: ribosomal RNA, 226 nt
Filed under: uncultured bacterium
Lineage: Bacteria
Description: partial 16S ribosomal RNA
Rfam family: Bacterial small subunit ribosomal RNA
Source: RNAcentral